Molecule: transfer RNA, 72 nt
Filed under: Candida sojae
Lineage: Eukaryota; Fungi; Ascomycota; Pichiomycetes; Serinales; Debaryomycetaceae
Description: tRNA-Lys
Rfam family: tRNA
About the family: Transfer RNA (tRNA) molecules are approximately 80 nucleotides in length. Their secondary structure includes four short double-helical elements and three loops (D, anti-codon, and T loops).
Source: RNAcentral
GGGAAUGUCGUCUAAAGGUUAGGACUUUUGCCUUUUAAGCAAACUAUACUGGUUCAAGUCCAGUCCUUCUCA